AGUGGCGAACGGGUGAGUAAAGUAUCGGAACGUGCCCAGUCGUGGGGGAUAACGUAGCGAAAGUUACGCUAAUACCGCAUACGAUCUAUGGAUGAAAGCGGGGGAUCGCAAGACCUCGCGCGAUUGGAGCGGCCGAUAUCAAAUUAGGUAGUUGGUGGGGUAAAGGCUCACCAAGCCGACGAUCUGUAGUUGGUCUGAAAGGACGACCAGCCACACUGGGACUGAGACACGGCCCACACUCCUACGGGAGGCAGCAGUGGGGAAUUUUGGACAAUGGGCGCAAGCCUGAUCCAGCCAUGCCGCGUGCAGGAUGAAGGCCUUCGGGUUGUAAACUUCUUUUGUACGGAACGAAAAGGUUUGGCCUAAUAAGCUGAGCUCAUGACGGUACCGUAAGAAUAAGCACCGGCUAACUACGUGCCAGCAGCCGCGGUAAUACGUAGGGUGCGAGCGUUAAUCGGAAUUACUGGGCGUAAAGCGUGCGCAGGCGGUUAUGUAAGACAGAUGUGAACUCCCCGGCGCUCAACCUGGGAACUGCAUUAGUGACUGCAUAGCUGGAGUACGGCAGAGGGGGGAUGGAAUUCCGCGUGUAGCAGUGAAAUGCGUAGAUAUGCGGAGGAACACCGAUGGCGAAGGCACUCCCCUGGGUCUGUACUGACGCUCAUGCACGAAAGCGUGGG
Molecule: ribosomal RNA, 677 nt
Filed under: uncultured Curvibacter sp.
Lineage: Bacteria; Pseudomonadati; Pseudomonadota; Betaproteobacteria; Burkholderiales; Comamonadaceae
Description: bacterial SSU rRNA
Rfam family: Bacterial small subunit ribosomal RNA
Source: RNAcentral